Homo sapiens (human) is the source of this 669-nucleotide long non-coding RNA. Ensembl annotates it as chitinase, acidic pseudogene 2. Its record names the gene CHIAP2. The record is from Ensembl. Lineage: Eukaryota; Metazoa; Chordata; Mammalia; Primates; Hominidae.
AGAGAACAGCCCCCUCUACAAAUACCCGACUGACACCGGCAGCAACGCCUACCUCAAUGUGAUCUGUACCUUCCUGAAGAAUGGAGCUACUGAAGUAUGGGAGGCUUCUGAGGAUGUUCCCUAUGCCUACAAAGGAAAUGAGUGGCUUGGAUACGAUAACACCAAGAGUUUCCAAAUCAAGGCAGAUUGGCUAAAGAAGAACAACUUUGGAGGUGCCAUGGUCUGGGCCAUUGACCUGGAUGAUUUCACAGGCACUUUCUGCAACCAAGGAAAAUUCCCUCUGAUCACCACCCUGAAGGAUGCUCUGGGCCUGCAGAGUACAAGUUGCAAAGCUCCAGCCCAACCCAUUGCUCCCAUUGCCGAGGCAAACAUCACAUGCGGUGUCAGCCACAGUCGUAGCUCUGGGGGCCGCUCUGGCAGGAGCUCUGGGGGCAGCCCCAGAGGUAGUGGAUUCUGUGCUGACAGGGCCAGUGGCCUGUACCCUGACCCCACUGACAAGAAUGCCUCCUACAGUUGUGUGAAUGGAAAGACUUUCACUCAGCACUGCCAGCCUGGUGGUGUCUUUGAUACCUUCUGCUCCUGCUGCAGCUGGUGAUAACAUUUUUCAGAUAUCACCUCACCCAGCCUCAGAAGUUGUUGUGCAAUAAAAGGUUGAGCAUUACUGUACAA